AGUGCUGGGUCUGGGUGGUCACUACCUGUCUAGGCUGUCUGAUGAACUGAUCCCCGACCUCGCGCUUUGUCCCUGCUCCUGUCUGUCCGGUCACUGGCCCUACACUUCGUCCCUGCUUCUGUCCAGUGGUACGAAGUGACUAUGGAAAGACACUCCCGUGUUAAUACGUUUAACAACAUGCGGUGGAUGUUGUGUGGCCAAAACGGACUAGAGGCAGGGUUGUGGGACGGUGUGUUAAUUGUCUGCUAAUACUAGUCACAGUGCGCAAGCCGAUACUGACGUGUGUUGGGAUCGUACCCGGUAAUGGUUGGCGCCAGAAUGAUUACUGUUAGGGUGUGUUUGAGCAAUGUGUUGCAGCAUACUGUGAAUGGUCCUUGAUGGAGUGUCACAUUUGCGGUAAUCUCCCCAGUAGCCAGCCCGAUCACCUGGAGACUUCACUGGACCGGAGGAGGCACGACAGCACAGUGGUUCAUCACAGUCUGCAUUGGAACCUUCUUGAUAUUCUGGGUCAUAGUGUGUAUCCGAAAGAUGGAGCACUUUCAAGGUUGGCAUUCCUGUCUAUGAAUAUGAUGGAAUUAGAGAAUGAUUAGUAGGUAACAUUUAGUACUAAUGAAACAUUUGUAUAAUACACAUGAAUUACACAAAUCAUAUAUUAAAAUUGCAAAAAAUUGCCCAACCCUUUCCUUUUCUACAGCCUCCCUGCUCCUUGCUAACAUUCCCUUAACUUUCUUCCAUCAGUCUUAGUCAAGACUCAACACAACCUCUUUCCUAAUACAUUAAGCAAACAUAUCUCUUCAUUUUGUCACACUACAUUUUUCCCUUACACAAACACAACUGCUCCCUAUCACUCACAUGGUACUUCUGGCUCAGUACUAGGUCAUAUAUCAAAAUGCAUUCAUCCUACAAUUGUCUUUCCUCCAUGCUUUGUUAUUCCUUGUACACUCUCAGCUUUACCACUGUCUUAUCUGAUUAUUGCCUUUUCUACUGCCUGUAUUCAAUCCUUGCUGCAAACAUUACUUACAGAAGAGGGCUUCUGAUGUUGAACAUGAGGUUUUUGUACAGGAGGGAAAGCCACUCUCCAUUUAUGAUAUGGGUUGUAUGGUAUUCCACAGAUGUCUCCGAUGACAAAGCCACAAAUCUCAUCAGGACUCAUUACAAGAUUUUCCACCACAUAUACAACUUCAUCCUUUGAAAAAAUAAAUAUAAGUUAGUACAAAAGUUGUAAAUUAGCAAAAUAUUUAUAACUUAAGUUUAACAUAAAAAGGAAAGAAAAUUGCUUGUCCAUGACUCAAUCACUUACCGCCAUAAGAUUAACAAUGCCAAGGCAGACUCGUGGUGUCUCAAUUUGUAAGGAAAUGCAGAAUCCAGAUGCAGCCUUAAUGAUAUCUUCUUUUAUCAUACCAUUUUGGACAAACUUUUGCAGCAUACCCACACCUGCAGUACAAUUCAUAGUUACUUUUUGGCAUAUGUAUUGCAAUAAAAGGUUCCACCUUUUCUAUAUUAUGAAAUAUGAUCAUUAUCAUUCAUAAUUAAUGUUUUCAUUAGCAACUACUUCUGAUGCACACUUUAAAAAGAUUACAUUGUGUUUACUAUAAGUCAAGUAACUAUAAAUGUUAUAACCUAACUGCUUCCUUUAUACCAUUCAAAAUUAUUUCCUUCAAGAUAUGAUAAAGAAAGGAAAAGAAAGAAAAACAACCAAGCAACUUGAGCUGUACUAUAAUCAAAAGACUCUAGUACUACAUAUGAAAUCCAUCUCACUGAAAUUAUCUUUCAUCCCAGUAACCACUCAACUUACCAACUUUGCAAGCAGUACAAGAAGCAGUUGACAUGAUGGAAGUUUCAAUUUCAUUCACAACUUGUUCAAGGUCAAGGAACUUUCCUAGAUCUGUGAAAAAUCUUGGCAAACGUGGCCUAUCUAAAAAGCGGCCCUCUCGUUUUUUCACAGCAUCUAACCCUUCCUUAAGUUCCAACAGUAUUGCUGUAUAAUUAAGCUUAGAGAUGUCAAAUUUCUCCACCCUUUCUUUCUCUUCUUGCGUUGUAGGAGUUGCAUGGUCAUAUGAUAUGUCAUUCUCGUGAGAAUCCAAGUCUUUGCUGAUCAGUGGACUACCU
Portunus trituberculatus (swimming crab) is the source of this 2109-nucleotide long non-coding RNA. RefSeq lists it as uncharacterized. The record is from RefSeq and is a predicted model, not a curated record. The transcript is spliced from 3 exons. NCBI's taxonomy places the organism in Eukaryota, Metazoa, Arthropoda, Malacostraca, Decapoda, Portunidae.